UAAGUUCAAAAGUAUGAGUGAGCUAGAUUAGGUCUAGCUUUUGUGUUCUUCUAUCCGGAUUUUCCAAACUGUUUUUUAAAUUAGGAUUCAUCUCUUCUUUAACCAUAGGCAUAUUAGCUCUCCCAUUAGUCGUUCUUAUUGUCUUGUCUCUCUUAAAUCAGGUGGAUGGAUCUUAGCUUCUGUACUUCCAUACUGAUAUCCAUACGAUAGGAUAUAUGGAUUCUUUUUCGCUUGUUCUCCAACUUUAUGAGUCCAGUCCUCCAUUCAUGGGUUAAUUGUCUUCUUUUUAGGGUUAGGGUUUCUGCUUCUACAAUCUGCAUAAUUUGCAUGAGGAAUCUCAAGACCAUCUGUCAGAGUAAGUCAGUAUUCGCGGGUGCAGCAUCAUCAAGAUUCACAUACAGGCAAGGGGGCUACCUUUAUCGAUCGAGUAAAUUGUUACUGCACCAAUCUGAAUAUUUCCUUCAACUUCCUUUUGCACUUGAAAGGUAGUUCCUUCGAAGUGGGAAUCUUGAUGAUGCUGCAUCAGCUGGUACAUGACUAUUUGGCAUCCGCGUCGAUGAUCCCUGUGAAGAAUUAAGGCAUUUUUACACCACAAGAACAUCAGAGCACCUGAUGGAUCUUCAGAUUGGCCACCAGCAAUGCACGAGGGCAGGGCUUGACUUGUGCAGUUUGAUCAAGUUUUCGCAAUUCAGGGUACCGUUUAGUGUGUGGACAGUCUUUGCAAUUGAUCAAGUAUAUAUAAUCACGAUCUUGAUAAAUCCCCUCUCAACAAAGUCAAGCUUUCACCCGGUAAAGGCUCAAGACCAGUGUCUGACAAAAGUUGGUAACCCUAAUUUAUUGAAGAUCUAGAUUCAUAUAUUCUGCAUGAAAACUUGACUCUGCCUUUAUUAGGUGAUGUUUUGUUUCCCAGAAAUCAGAUGAGAGUGGACUAAUUAUUCUUAUCUUACAUUAUCCGUGCAGAGUCGAUAAACCAAAAUUUCGAUUGGUAUUGAAGGUUGAUGGGAGAGAGUACAAGAAAUAAACAAGAGUGAAUGAAGCAAAAUGUUGAAAGAGAAAAUAACUUAAAGUAAUUUUUAUAUUUGGUUUUUAGUUUUUAUUUUGUGUACUUUUACUACUAAAAUUUCUUCUACAUCUCUUCCACCUAUCUUCCUCCAUUAUUUUAUAGGAAACUUUAACGAAAAACUUUUGGUAUUGUUCACUUUAACGAAAAACCACAUUUUUACACUAAAAAGUCAAUCUUGGUACUAUUCACUUUAUCUUUUAUUUUGUUCUUGUCAUUAAAACUCAAAGUUUUCAAGUCAUUUUCAUUAAUUUUCCUUGUUUUAUAUCCUUUAUUUCUUCCAUGCACUAUUUCUCUACUAUAUAAAACAAAAAUGAAAGCUAACAACUAAUUAAAAACAAAAUGAUUAUCAAACAGUUUCCUAAGCGCUAAUGUUGUUAUUUAGUUUGGUAGGAUAAUAACUUUUUUGCUGAAGAAAUCAGAGUUUGCGAUACGCUUAAACAAGACUGCAGGAAGCUAUUUGAGCAUUCAAUAUCAAAGCCUGAAUGCUUUUCUAUAGGCCAAUCACUUUCUUUGUAGUAAUCAGAACACGUCUGCAGCUAGCUUCUUAACUGGUCAAUGCUACAAGAAGUUGUUUGGGUUAAUAUUUGAAUAUUGGGCUUAAAUAAAGGAAAACCUAAGGAUGCCAAAUUAAGGGAAGACUUGCCCGAAGCCCGUUGAGCCCAGGAACAAAUUGAAGCCUUCUCAGCUAAGACACAAGCCACAUGUCUAUAAUUAAAGUGACAAGUGAUGAAGAUUAAUCUACUAUCAGCCAAAGAACACUUUCCAGUGGCAUUUAUAGUAAAAAAACUGAUGACUCACUAUCCUCCAAGUGCUUUUGGGCAAGAGUAAAAGUUACAGCAGUCGGGCCAAACUGCCUAUAAAAUGAAGAAAAGACAACGGGGACAAGGACACUCAACCAAUCAAACAAACAAACUUACAAACUCUGCUCUCAAGCCAGAUUUGCAUCCAAAAGCUGAAAUCAACCCGUAUUCAGUCCUUUUAGCGAUAGUUUCCUUAGAAAAAUUAUCUUUUUUCUAGUAUAAAAGCUCUGCUACCAUUCCCAAUGUUGUAGUAUCGAUCAUCUUGUGUCAACUUGUUUACCAUCCAUCCUUUUUUUUUAGCAUAUAACCCCUGUAAAUUCAAAAAGAAGUGACUGCAAGAAGUUUAACCUUGCCAGACAAGGUGAAAUCUUGCCUGAAACCUUUUGUUUGUUUUCUUAAUUAAUAGAUAUAUUGCUUAAUGCAUUAUCUAGCAUGUAUUCAAGCUA
Long non-coding RNA from Pyrus x bretschneideri (Chinese white pear), 2309 nucleotides. RefSeq lists it as uncharacterized. The transcript is spliced from 4 exons. NCBI's taxonomy places the organism in Eukaryota, Viridiplantae, Streptophyta, Magnoliopsida, Rosales, Rosaceae. The record is from RefSeq and is a predicted model, not a curated record.